GAUGAACGCUAGCUACAGGCUUAACACAUGCAAGUCGAACGGAGCGCUUUGGAAAGAGACUUCGGUCAAUUGAAGGAGUUGCUUAGUGGCGGACUGGUGAGUAACGCGUGAGGAACCUGCCUUUCAGAGGGGGGACAACAGUUGGAAACGACUGCUAAUACCGCAUAACGUCAUUUGGGGGCAUCCCCGAGUGACCAAAGAUUUUAUCGCUGAAAGAUGGACUCGCGUCCGAUUAGCUAGAUGGUGGGGUAACGGCCUACCAUGGCGACGAUCGGUAGCCGAACUGAGAGGUUGAUCGGCCGCAUUGGGACUGAGACACGGCCCAGACUCCUACGGGAGGCAGCAGUGGGGGAUAUUGCACAAUGGAGGAAACUCUGAUGCAGCAACGCCGCGUGAGGGAAGACGGUCUUCGGAUUGUAAACCUAAGUUAUCAGGGACGAUUAUGACGGUACCUGAAGAGAAAGCUCCGGCUAACUACGUG
This 481-nucleotide ribosomal RNA is filed under the name uncultured bacterium. Its description in RNAcentral is "bacterial SSU rRNA". It matches the Rfam family "Bacterial small subunit ribosomal RNA", at positions 28 to 507 of the family's 1533-position model. The record is from RNAcentral.